GAAAAGGCGUGGGUUUGCUGCCAGUUGGCUGCGGAUCCGAUCAGGGCCAGGCUCUGUAGGGUGCGGAUGGGCUCUCCUGGCGUCGGGGUGCGGAUGGGGUACCUGAGGCAGUCUUGCGUAGGAGAUGAGAAGUCGAGGGGCCCUCUGGAAGCCCCUCCGAACCAGCCACUGCUCAUCCCAGAGAAAAGGCCCGGAUGUCGAGGACAGAUAAGCAAACAGGUACAAAAAAGUUCCCCAACGCCCAGCAAAAGAAAUGCUCCAGUAGGAAAGGGCCCAGCCUAACCAAGGACAGGCCGGGGAGGCACUGGGUGAGGGCGGGUUCCAGGUAGGGGCAGGGGUCCCUUUCGGAGGGUCAGAGGUCUGUAGAUAGGGGAAAAAAUAGAACAGAGGCCUCGUUAGGUCUUGGAGCUAGUCCUGACCAGAAGGGGUCAAGGGUGGGGUAGAGAAAAGGCAAGAAGUCAGCUGAGGGGCGGCAGCGGUGGCCUCGGGGCUUGCACAGGCAGGACGCAGGGCCAAGCGCAAACGCGGACACCGCGCCCCGCCCGCGCCAGGGUGCGGGAGCAGGGGCGGGGCUGGCCGGCGGCGCAGGGAUUCGCCCUGGGCUCGCUCUGUAGUCCUCUCCCGAGUCGGCGCAUCGCGCAUCGCGCACCCGCAGCUGCAGCAGCGUCCUCUGCCCUGCCCGGCUCUAGGCCCGCUAGGAGGGACGCACCCCCUUGCCCACCCGCUGCCCACCCCAAAGACAAGGCCCUGACAAGUAGGUCAAGGACAAGCACACAGACGGACAGAAGCUGCGCGCAGACCCCCGGAAGGGACCUCGUUAGGCAGAGCCGCGGGAAGGGGGGCCCAUUCCCGUGGGGGAGCCCCGAGCUUCAGCCAGGGGCAAAGGGCCAGGGUCCCCCAUCCUCCGGAGUCCCGCCCUGGUCCCUUCUCUGUCGUCUUUACAGAUAAAGCGCCUUCCUCCCCGUAAGCUUUGUCCCUCUGACGUAUCAUCGCGGCUGAGCUCCUGAUCCGGGGGCUGCGGGACAGCGGAGCCGCGGGGCUCGUCCCACGAACGCGCCGUCCUUUGGUCCCCCGCCCCGGGACCAGAGGUGACGCUGCCACCCUGCUUUCUGCUGAGACAGUUUACUGAAGAAGAAACCCCGGCGCCGGAUCCGCGCGGUUGCCCCCAGCACCAGCGGCCGCCUCUUGUGG
Molecule: long non-coding RNA, 1191 nt
Organism: Chinchilla lanigera (long-tailed chinchilla)
Lineage: Eukaryota; Metazoa; Chordata; Mammalia; Rodentia; Chinchillidae
Exons: 4
Source: RefSeq, a predicted model, not a curated record